AGUCAAGGUCCGGAGUCGAUGGGUUAUCAGCCUCUUCCCACCGACAUCAACUUGACCUGGC
This 61-nucleotide small RNA is filed under the name Pristionchus pacificus. Its description in RNAcentral is "Nematode sRNA ceN72-3_ceN74-2". It matches the Rfam family "Nematode sRNA ceN72-3_ceN74-2". Lineage: Eukaryota; Metazoa; Nematoda; Chromadorea; Rhabditida; Neodiplogasteridae. The record is from Rfam by way of RNAcentral.